GCAGUUACCUGGCAGGUGAGAUACCUUGGCCAUGUAGGUGGUUUUCCUAGGGUGAGGCUCACCCAUUGCACUUGUGGUGUGUUGACCCCUGCUAUGUCCCCAAAUGUGGGAAACUCGGCUGCAUAACUCUUUUUAGUUGGGGACUGUGUUCGCGCUCUCCCCUG
Molecule: small nuclear RNA, 164 nt
Organism: Microtus oregoni (creeping vole)
Lineage: Eukaryota; Metazoa; Chordata; Mammalia; Rodentia; Cricetidae
Product: U1 spliceosomal RNA
Exons: 1
Source: RefSeq, a predicted model, not a curated record